GACAGAGGCCUCGAGCGUUAGGCGGAAUCACUGGGCUUAAAGCGUGUGUAGGCGGGCCCGUAAGUGUCUUGUGAAAUCCCACGGCUCAACCGUGGAACUGCUGGGCAUACUGCGGGUCUUGGGCCAACUAGGGGCAGCCGGAACAAGCGGUGGAGCGGUGAAAUGCGUAGAUAUCGCUUGGAACGCCGAAGGUGAAAAACAGGGCUGCUGGGGUUGCGCCGACGCUGAGACACGAAAGCCAGGGGAGCAAACGGG
This 255-nucleotide ribosomal RNA is filed under the name uncultured bacterium. RNAcentral's name for it is "partial 16S ribosomal RNA". It matches the Rfam family "Bacterial small subunit ribosomal RNA", at positions 524 to 776 of the family's 1533-position model. The record is from RNAcentral.